ACAGUUAUCAAGCAAGGGAGACACCAUGAUCACAUAAAUGGUUUUCCCAGGGCAAGACUUAUCUAUCACAUUCCAGAUGUGCUGACCCCUGUGGUUUCCCCAGAUUUGGGAAACUUGACUGCUUGAUUUUUGGUGGUGAGGGACUCUAU
Molecule: small nuclear RNA, 149 nt
Filed under: Chinchilla lanigera (long-tailed chinchilla)
Lineage: Eukaryota; Metazoa; Chordata; Mammalia; Rodentia; Chinchillidae
Description: U1 spliceosomal RNA (ENSCLAG00000020122.1)
Rfam family: U1 spliceosomal RNA
About the family: U1 is a small nuclear RNA (snRNA) component of the spliceosome (involved in pre-mRNA splicing). Its 5' end forms complementary base pairs with the 5' splice junction, thus defining the 5' donor site of an intron. There are significant differences in sequence and secondary structure between metazoan and yeast U1 snRNAs, the latter being much longer (568 nucleotides as compared to 164 nucleotides in human).
Source: Rfam by way of RNAcentral